Small nuclear RNA from Phyllostomus hastatus (greater spear-nosed bat), 103 nucleotides. Lineage: Eukaryota; Metazoa; Chordata; Mammalia; Chiroptera; Phyllostomidae. The record is from RefSeq and is a predicted model, not a curated record.
UUGAGUUGUACACAUAUGUAUUAAAGUAGGAAGAGACAAAGAAGAUUAGCAUGGUCCCCUGAGCAAGGAUGACAAGCAAAUUCAUGAAGUGUUCCAUAGCUUU